AGAGCGAACGCUGGCGGCAGGCCUAACACAUGCAAGUCGAGCGCCCGUAGCAAUACGGGAGCGGCAGACGGGAUAGUAACACGUGGGAACGCGCCCUUCGGUUCGGAAUAACUCAGGGAAACUUGAGCUAAUACCGAAUACGCCCUUACGGGGAAAGAUUUAUUGCCGAAGGAACGGCCCGCGUCCGAUUAGCUAGUUGGUGAGGUAAUGGCUCACCAAGGCGACGAUCGGUAGCUGGUCUGAGAGGAUGACCAGCAUCACUGGGACUGAGACACGGCCCAGACUCCUACGGGAGGCAGCAGUGGGGAAUAUUGGACAAUGGGCGCAAGCCUGAUCCAGCCAUGCCGCGUGUGGGACGAAGGCCUUCUGGGUUGUAAACCACUUUCAGCAGGGACGAUUGUGACGGUACCUGCAGAAGACGCCCCGGCCAACUACGUGCCAGCAGCCGC
RNAcentral lists this ribosomal RNA (449 nucleotides) under uncultured bacterium. RNAcentral describes it as "SSU rRNA". It matches the Rfam family "Bacterial small subunit ribosomal RNA", at positions 26 to 518 of the family's 1533-position model. The record is from RNAcentral.